UCCCUGGUGGCUCAGAUGGUAAAAGCAUUUGUCUACAAUGCAUUAGACCCAGGUUUGAUCCCUGGUUCAGGAA
This 73-nucleotide transfer RNA is filed under the name Ovis aries (sheep). It matches the Rfam family "tRNA". Rfam says of the family: Transfer RNA (tRNA) molecules are approximately 80 nucleotides in length. Their secondary structure includes four short double-helical elements and three loops (D, anti-codon, and T loops). The record is from Rfam by way of RNAcentral. Lineage: Eukaryota; Metazoa; Chordata; Mammalia; Artiodactyla; Bovidae.